CGCCUGUUUAUCAAAAACAUCGCUUCCUGAGGAACAUGGGAAGUCGUGCCUUCCCAGUGAGCAUACGAGCUUAAACGGACGCGGUAAAUCGUGCUAAGGUAGCUAAAUUAUGGCCCAUUAAUUGUGGGUCCUGUGAAUGGUUUGACGAGUCCUCGACUGUCUCGAGAUUACUUUGGUGAACUUGAAUUAAAUGUGCAAAUGCUUUUAUGGGUAAGAAAGACGAGAAGACCCCGUGAAGUUAGAAAUUCCUGCUUACAACGUUAGUCUUUGAGGAUAUGGCCCGAGGGGGCAAGUGGGGGAAUGUAAGUUGAUGAGUUUUGGCUGGGGCAGCAAAGAGGCAAAACUAGACCUUUUUUCUUGGAGACGGGUGCGUGACGACCCACAGGAAUAAAAGGUGUGAUUAGCAGAAGGAGUUACUCCGGGGAUAACAGCGUUAUCGGCCCUGAUAGUUCUUAUAGAUGGGCGGGUUUGCGACCUCGAUGUUGGCUCUGGAUAUCCUGAGGCUUGCAGCUGGUCUCAAGGGUUGGU
This 528-nucleotide ribosomal RNA is filed under the name Zygochlamys patagonica. RNAcentral describes it as "partial 16S ribosomal RNA". It matches the Rfam family "Bacterial large subunit ribosomal RNA", at positions 1797 to 2576 of the family's 2925-position model. Lineage: Eukaryota; Metazoa; Mollusca; Bivalvia; Pectinida; Pectinidae. The record is from RNAcentral.